This 460-nucleotide ribosomal RNA is filed under the name uncultured bacterium. RNAcentral's name for it is "partial 16S ribosomal RNA". It matches the Rfam family "Bacterial small subunit ribosomal RNA", at positions 338 to 795 of the family's 1533-position model. The record is from RNAcentral.
CCUACGGGAGGCAGCAGUGAGGAAUAUUGGUCAAUGGACGAGAGUCUGAACCAGCCAAGUAGCGUGAAGGAUGACUGCCCUAUGGGUUGUAAACUUCUUUUAUAUGGGAAUAAAAUGUUCCACGUGUGGGAUUUUGUAUGUACCAUAUGAAUAAGGAUCGGCUAACUCCGUGCCAGCAGCCGCGGUAAUACGGAGGAUCCGAGCGUUAUCUGGAUUUAUUGGGUUUAAAGGGAGCGUAGGUGGAUUGUUAAGUCAGUUGUGAAAGUUUGCGGCUCAACCGUAAAAUUGCAGUUGAAACUGGCAGUCUUGAGUACAGUAGAGGUGGGCGGAAUGCGUGGUGUAGCGGUGAAAUGCUUAGAUAUCACGAAGAACUCCGAUUGCGAAGGCAGUUCACUGGACUGCAACUGACACUGAGGCUCGAAAGUGUGGGUAUCAAACAGGAUUAGAUACCCUUGUAGUC